UACGUAGGGGGCAAGCGUUGUCCGGAUUUAUUGGGCGUAAAGCGCACGCAGGCGGUGCGGUAAGUUUCGAGUGACAGGUGGUGGCUUAACUGCCACAGGACUCGGAAAACUGCUGCACUUGAGGGCUUGAGAGGGACGCGGAAUUCCAGGUGGAGCGGUGAAAUGCGCAGAUAUCGGGAGGAACACCAAUGGCGAAGGCAGCUUGCUGGGACGGUACUGACGCUGAGACGCGAAAGCGUGGGGAGCAAACAGG
Molecule: ribosomal RNA, 253 nt
Filed under: uncultured bacterium
Lineage: Bacteria
Description: partial 16S ribosomal RNA
Rfam family: Bacterial small subunit ribosomal RNA
Source: RNAcentral